Molecule: ribosomal RNA, 484 nt
Filed under: uncultured bacterium
Lineage: Bacteria
Description: partial 16S ribosomal RNA
Rfam family: Bacterial small subunit ribosomal RNA
Source: RNAcentral
AGUGAACGCUGGCGGCGUGCUUAACACAUGCAAGUCGAACGAGAACGGAUUAUAGCUUGCUAUAAUUGUCAGCUAAGUGGCGCACGGGUGAGUAAUGUAUAGGUAAUAUGCCUCUUACUAAGGGAUAACAAUUGGAAACGAUUGCUAAUACCUUAUAUUCCUUUUUAUCAAAAGAUACAAAGGGAAAGAUUUAUUGGUAAGAGAUUAGCCUGUAUUGUAUCAGUUAGUUGGUGGGGUAAUGGCCUACCAAGACGAUGACGCAUAACUGGUUUGAGAGGAUGAUCAGUCACACUGGAACUGAGACACGGUCCAGACUCCUACGGGAGGCAGCAGUGGGGAAUAUUGCACAAUGGACGAAAGUCUGAUGCAGCAACGCCGCGUGGAGGAUGACACAUUUCGGUGCGUAAACUCCUUUUAUAUAAGAAGAUAAUGACGGUAUUAUAUGAAUAAGCACCGGCUAACUACGUGCCAGCCGCCGCCGUAA